Molecule: long non-coding RNA, 223 nt
Organism: Oreochromis niloticus (Nile tilapia)
Lineage: Eukaryota; Metazoa; Chordata; Actinopteri; Cichliformes; Cichlidae
Exons: 2
Source: RefSeq, a predicted model, not a curated record
CACAGUGGACUUCCUGAGGAGAAUGAAGCAGGAGGAGCUGGCUGACCGUCUGCAGAGCAAACUUCCAGCUGCAGUUUGUCAUCGUAACCUUAAAUCCACCCUGAAGAAGAAGUUCCAGUGUGUGUUUGAGGGGAUCGCUAAAGCAGGAAACCCAACCCUUCUGAAUCAGAUCUACACAGAGCUCUACAUCACAGAGGGAGGGACUGCAGAGGUCAAUGAUGAA